This is a long non-coding RNA of Brassica oleracea var. oleracea, 596 nucleotides long. RefSeq lists it as uncharacterized. The transcript has 2 exons. NCBI's taxonomy places the organism in Eukaryota, Viridiplantae, Streptophyta, Magnoliopsida, Brassicales, Brassicaceae. The record is from RefSeq and is a predicted model, not a curated record.
GUUCGGGUACAGUCCAAAUUAACAGCAAACCUCGGUUUCUCUCGGUCUCUGUCUCUGCUUCUUCUCCAAUCUCGAUUGAUGUUUGUUUAGAUUUAUUUUAGGGGAGAGGGUCAUUUCGUGCUUGGAGAUAGAAAGGUCUAUGCGUGCGUGCUAUGAUGUUGAUCAUGAAAAUUGAAAUUUGAAGAAUAUUAUAAUCAUGACGGGCACCAACAUUAUGAUAUGAAAAAAAGGGAAUAAUAUAGGAUGGUUCAGGAAUAAUCUUCUAAUUUUUUCUUUCUAUAAAAGAUUGAGAGACGUUUACCUUUUGGGGCGGCAUGGUUAGUAGUGGUAGUGGUGUUACACACCUUUUCUAAUAUCCCUCUCAAUGUUUGUAUUUUAGUUUUUCUGUUAUUUUAUUUUUGUAUUUCCCUUUUUUUUAGUUUUAUUGAUUUCUUGCAUAUCUUCUUAUGUUUUCUAUUAUGCCAAGCGGAAGGCACAAUUAACAUUAGAUAGUGGUCAUAAAGAUCGAUUUGCUAUUUUGUUAGAAAGGCAUACUGUUUAUUUUGUUUGACUUCUAAUUUUUGUGGAUUAUAAAAAUCAUCGAUGCUGUUGAAGUC